CAACUUUCAACAAUGGAUCUCUUGGCUCCGGCAUCGAUGAAGAACGCAGCGAAAUGCGAUAACUAGUGUGAAUUGCAGAUUUCAGUGAAUCAUCGAGUCUUUGAACGCACAUUGCGCCCCCUGGUAUUCCUAGGGGCAUGCCUAUUCGAGCGUCGUU
Molecule: ribosomal RNA, 157 nt
Filed under: Arxiella dolichandrae
Lineage: Eukaryota; Fungi; Ascomycota; Dothideomycetes; Muyocopronales; Muyocopronaceae
Description: 5.8S ribosomal RNA
Rfam family: 5.8S ribosomal RNA
About the family: 5.8S ribosomal RNA (5.8S rRNA) is a component of the large subunit of the eukaryotic ribosome. It is transcribed by RNA polymerase I as part of the 45S precursor that also contains 18S and 28S rRNA. Functionally, it is thought that 5.8S rRNA may be involved in ribosome translocation.
Source: RNAcentral